Long non-coding RNA from Anolis carolinensis (green anole), 250 nucleotides. RefSeq lists it as uncharacterized. NCBI's taxonomy places the organism in Eukaryota, Metazoa, Chordata, Lepidosauria, Squamata, Anolidae. The record is from RefSeq and is a predicted model, not a curated record. The transcript has 2 exons.
UCUGACACGGGAAAAACACACUUAUAAAACAACAACUGUCCCGCCUGGAGCGAAGAGGGACAGCCGCGUGCGCACAACACACAAACCCGCAAAAGAGCGAAAAUGCCGCGAUCAAUGGUGUACAUUGACAUUAAGUGAAAAUCCACAAAACAGCAAGGCCGCAAAAAGCGAACUGCGAAGUAGGAGGGAACGCUGCAUGGUUAUUCUGUUGUCGAAGCUUUUCCUACCUGUCAACAAAGUAUCUGAAGUC